CAUUCCAGAAUUGGGCAGAGUUGUAG
RNAcentral lists this non-coding RNA (26 nucleotides) under Drosophila melanogaster (fruit fly). Lineage: Eukaryota; Metazoa; Arthropoda; Insecta; Diptera; Drosophilidae. The record is from RNAcentral.